RNAcentral lists this ribosomal RNA (253 nucleotides) under uncultured bacterium. RNAcentral describes it as "partial 16S ribosomal RNA". It matches the Rfam family "Bacterial small subunit ribosomal RNA", at positions 524 to 776 of the family's 1533-position model. The record is from RNAcentral.
UACAGAGGGUGCGAGCGUUAAUCGGAAUUACUGGGCGUAAAGCGCGCGUAGGCGGCUUUGUAAGUCGGAUGUGAAAUCCCCGGGCUUAACCUGGGAACUGCAUUCGAGACUGCAUGGCUAGAGUAUGGGAGAGGGAAGUGGAAUUUCAGGUGUAGCGGUGAAAUGCGUAGAUAUCUGAAGGAACGCCGGUGGCGAAAGCGACGUGCUGGAUCUCUUCUGACGCUGAGGCGCGAAAGCCAGGGGAGCGAACGGG